ACGCUCGACACCUACGGAGGCAGCAGUGGGGAAUAUUGCACAAUGGGGGAAACCCUGAUGCAGCGAUGCCGCGUGAAGGAAGAAGUAUCUCGGUAUGUAAACUUCUAUCAGCAGGGAAGAAAAUGACGGUACCUGACUAAGAAGCCCCGGCUAACUACGUGCUAGCAGCCGCGGUAAUCUGAGCGGGCUGGCAAGGC
Molecule: ribosomal RNA, 197 nt
Filed under: uncultured bacterium
Lineage: Bacteria
Description: partial 16S ribosomal RNA
Rfam family: Bacterial small subunit ribosomal RNA
Source: RNAcentral